UCAGUUUUCAUGCCAAUAUCAUGCUGUUUUGAUUACUAUAGCUUUGUAGUAUUGUCUGAAGUCUGGGACAGUUAUGCCUCCAGCUUUUUUUUUUUUUUUUUUUUUAAUCUCCCUCGGGAAUGCUUUUACAAUUCUAGGUCUUUUAUGGUUCUAUAUAAGUCUUAGGAUUAUUUGUUGUAGUUCUCUAAAAUAUAUCAUGGAUAAUUUGAUAGGGAUUGCAUUAAAUCUGUAGAUUGCUUUGGUUAGUAUGCUCAUUUUAACAAUAUGAAUUCUUCCAAGAGCAUGGGAUAUCUUUCCAUUAGUUUGAAUCACCAUUUGUUUGAUUCAGUUUCUUUUAAGAGUGUUUUUAGAGUUCUCAACAUAUGGGUCUUUCACCUCCUUGGUUUAGGUUUAUUCCUAGGUAUUUUAUUUAUUUAUUUUUGACCUGAAUUUUAAAUGGGAUUGUUUUACUUUUUCUUUCUGAUAUUUAAUUGUAAGUGUAAAAAGAUGCAGCAGAUUUCUGUAUAUUAAUCUUGUAUCCUACCACCUUGCUAAAUUCAUUUAUUAUUUCUAAGUUUUUGCAUAGUCUUUAGGAUUUACUAUAUAGUGUGCUAUUCAACUGCAUAUAAUGAAAGCUUGAACCUCUUCUUUUCCAAUUUGGAUGCAUUUUAUUUGUUUUUCUAAAACACUCCCUCAUAACAUAUCCAAAAAUAAACUCCGAAUGUGAAGGCCUAAAUAUAAGACCAAAAAACUACAGAAGAGAACAAAGGCAGAACAUUUUGUGACAUAUAAACUAGCAAUAUUUGCUUAGUUCAAUGCAAAAGAAUUAAAAGCAAAAAUAAACAAAUGGGACCUAAUCAAAUUUAAUAGCUUUUGCACAGCAAAGAAGACCAUCAGCAAAAUGAAAAAAAAAGUGCAAAAUGGAAGAAAAUGUUUGCAAACAGUAUAACUAAGAAGGGAUCGAUAGCCAAAAUAUGAAUAUAGCUCAUAUGACUCAAUAUUUAAAAAACAAAACAACCCAGUCAAUAGGCAGAAGUUCUAAAUAGACAUUUCCUGAAAGAAGGAUACAAUAGCCAACAGGUACAUGAAAAGAUGUUCAACAUCACUAAUUAUUAGAGAAAUACAAAUCAAAACCACAAUGAGGUAUCACCUCAUACUGAUCUGAAUGGUUAUCAUCAAAAAGUCUACAAAUAAUAAAUACUAGAGAGCGUGUGGGGGAAAGAGAACCCUCCUACACUAUUGGUGCAAAUGAAAAUUGCUACAGCCACUGUGGAGAACGUAUGGAAAUUCCUUAAGAAAACUAAAAAUAGCAUUACCAUAUGAUGCAGCAAUCCGACUCCUUGUCAUAUAUCCAAAAAAGAUGAAAACUCUAAUUCAAAAAGAUCUGUGCUACUCAGUGUUCAUAACAGCACUAUCUGCAAUAGCAAGGACAUGGAACCAGCCCAAGUGCCUAUCAACAGAUGAUUGGUUUAAGCAUAUAUAUACAUAAUGCAAUAUUACUCAGCCAUAAAAAGAGAGAAAUUAAUGCCAUUUACAGUAACAUGGCUGGACCUAGAGAUUAUCAUACUAAUUAAAGUAAAUCAGAGAACAAAUGUUGUAUCACUUAUAUGUGGAAUCUCGUAAUACAAAUGAAUUUAUUUACAAACCAGAAACAGACUACAGACAUAGAAAGCAAACUUAUGGUUACUAGAGGGUAAAGGGAGAAAGACAGAUAAAUUUGGAGUAUGGGAUGAACAGAUAUACACUAUACAAAAAUAGAAAAACAACAAGGAUUUACUGUACAGCACUGAAACAAUAAUGUAUAAUGGAAGAGAAUCUGAAAUAUAUAAAAUCACUUUACUGUGUAUCUGAAAACUAAGACAAUAUUGUAAAUCAACUAUACUUCAAUUUUUUUUAAAAAAUGCUGUGAAAUCAAAGAGGAAUCAAGGAUUUUGUGGGAGAUAUCAUAGAAAGCUUUAGGAAAGAAGUGACCCAUGCACUAUGUAAUGAAAUUUGACAGAUUUGUCCAAAUGAAGUAAAAGAAGGCAUUCUGGGAAGACAGAAUAAGGGGAAAGAAAGAAAGGUAUGAAAAUACUUUUGAGAACAAGCAUCCCAAAUGAGAAAAGCAUGGACUUCAUAAAGAAAAGUUAAAUGUCUCCUCUCUUAUGAGUCAAAAUGGUGCAUUUGUUUGGCAUUUACUAAAUUUUGAUUUAUUGCACUCUAUUUGCAGCCCAUGUUCUCAUCACUGGUACAUAAUGUCGUUCACUCUGCUUCUUUAUACCUUCUGCACUCUUUGCUCUCCCUGUCUUUCCUCUAAAUGUUAACCUCUUUGAUAUUUACUCAGCUGGAAUCACAGCACUGGGCUGUAUUCCCACAAUCACUUUCAAAUUAAUCUUUAUGCCAUAAUCUCUUUCCUAGUUCAAGUGACCACAGGUCAGCUGGAAUUUGGAAUUCCAAAUUUGAAUAGCUGAGAGAAGAUGGCUUCUUCAGGUUAGCCCCACUCCUCUUGUAUUUUACCUACCUUCAGCAUUAUCUCACCCAUCUAGUACUAGACAGCCAGGUCAGGGUUCCAACAUUGCCUAGCAAGGUGACUCACAAACAAGACUUCACCAAAGAUAGCACUGAAAUAAGCAGCAUAUGUUUGUUCAGUGGAUGCCCUAGAUGGAGUCCUUCACAGCUAAACAAUAACAUAAGUGAAGUUAGCACACACAGUUGACAGGCAAAGACUCCUAUUUUCUGUUCUUAAAUGAAAAACUUCUUUAAAAACAGUGAGAGCCACAUCUUGAGUCUGUCAACUCCCUAUCACCAUUAUAAUGUCAAAUUUUCUCUCCUAUAACAAAAAUAUAUAUUUUAUUUCUCUUAACCUAAACAUUAUACUUGUAUCUGCAGUAUUUACUUAUACAGUACCUAAGCAAAAGGUUUCAUAAAUGUGUUCAAAUCAUCACAGUUUGGGUGAUUUUGAAGUUUUAACUUCCAUUUUCUCUGUAAACCUCACUGAAACAUUAGCUCUCAAGUAAAUAUGUUUUUUAAAAAAAUCCAUGUUAUUUGUGUAGUCCAGUUCUUAAAGUUUUGAUUGUUUGGUUGAUAACUAGUCCAGAGAGGCUAAAACUUUUUCAGCAAAGUUUUGUGUCUGAAAAUCAGAUAGCUUUUCCACUUUACAAUUUAUUUACUACACUUCAUUUUUAGUGGGUUUGCACCUUUGAAUUUCAAAAUCAAGAAUGAAUUUUGUUAGUCCUCAAAUCUUAUUUGAAUUAAAUCGCUGGUAAAUAUCAAGAAAUUAAUACAUAUCUCCAUGUACCAUUUAAUAAAUUCUACUUGAAUUUAGAUACUGACUAAAAAUGGUUCAUCUAUACUGUAUUGUUGGCAUGUACCAAUUUCAGAAAAAAAAUGUUCACUUUCUUCUUUGUAUUACUUUUGAUUCUAAGUAUAUAUUUGUUGAAAUUAACUUUCGCUAUAUUUGGUUCGAGAAGCAGUUUAAAUUUAUUACCUAGUGAAUAGUAUACAACAUGAUAAAUAAAAUCUGGCAUCCACAUGAAAAAGUGUACUGUUAAAAAGUAUAUUGAAUUCUUAACAUUAUAAAGUCUGUUCAUUCAAAAAGCAUAAGUAAAUUCUCCUCCCAAGAUUAUUAUAUUUUGACCUAAUCUAUAGUCUAGUUACUAACUUUAGAAACAUACCAUUAUUAAGACUUCUCCUUUAUUUUCUUCAUAAGUUUAAAAUUAGAAAAAAACAAACACAUACUCUAGAUUACAAAAUUCAUAAUCCAUUCAUAAAAAUAAGAUAUCCUAUUCCCUUUGGAAAUUGGAAUGUAGCUUGCAAUUAUUCCUAUACUGGUCUCUUUUAAGCUCCUCUUAGACAUUAGACAGUGUUUAUUAAAAUUGUGUAAUAUCAGAUGGCUCUGUAUUCACUAUUGAGAAGUAAUAUUCUUGAACUUCUUUAAAGGAAAUGCUUAUUUAUUUUUAUAAAAUUAUCUGACUGAUAGCAGUCCAUACUAAACCUAAGAAGAAAUUUUAUGAUACAUUGCAUUACGUUGUAUUUAAUAUUAUUAAAUAAAAUCAAUAUAAGCAAAGUAUAAAAGCAAUAAUAAAGCCUUACUAAAUCUACUUCUUGACAAUAGCAAUAUUACAUUUUUUAUAUCACUUUAUAAUGAUCCAGGUAUUUUUGUGAUCUCAUUUGACCCUCUUUAUGUGAAGUAGGACAAUUUUAUUAUCGUAACUUUGUAGGAAAGAAAAGUAAUAAGUGAUUUGUCUUAGAUCUUACAUUUAGAAUUAUUAAUGAAUAAUUUAGGUCUGAUGUUGAAACAUUAACCUUUUAAACCCCAGAUUACAAUCUUUUAUUUUAUCUAAUUAGAACAGAAACUUUUAUCAUCACAUUUCACCAUAUGGUAAAAGAAAAAAAAAGUCUAUUAAACUUUUAAUUAAUUACCACUACAAAAGUUAUUUUGUUUCAGUCAUCUAAAAAUAAUGUACAUUCUAGGAAACAAUUUAUUGACUUGGGUACUUGAUAAGAUAUUAACAUGAAAGAUGAAGGGUCCAAUGAAAAUUUCAUCAGUCUUCAGUUAUAAAAUACUUAAUGUCUAUACUUUCUCAAAGAAAAAAAUUUGAAGAAAAAAUAUUGGUUACUUCAUGACAUGUUCUUAAGCAGUUGAAGCAAAAAAAAAACUUUUAUACUAAAUGAGUUUUUUCACAUAUUUAACUAUGUGACAGAAAUAAUAAAAAUAUUUUGGAAUAAUAAAUGCAUUCUUAAAGUCUGUGUUUAUAAAAGAAAAUUAUUUUGUUAGAAAAUACCUUAAUUUUUAAUAACAAUUUGAAGUGUAUACUUUUGUGUGAAAUUAUAUCCUUACACAAUUAAACAUAUCAAGGACACCAUUCCAUGAGCAAACUUUAAAAAAUACAGUAUUUUCAUAAAAAUACUUAGCGAGAAAACUUUAUACUUCUUAUUGAAUUGCUACUUUCAAAUAUGUCAUAAUUAUCAGUGCCUUAUGUCAAUAAAUGCCAGAAGAAAUUCUAUACAGACUCCCAUUCUUCAACAAUAGUAAUUAUAAACAUUCUAUGUAUAUACAUUCAACUUAUGUAUAGUUUUGAAAAUAAAUUAUGUUUAUACUUGAUAUAUAUGCCUAGAUAAUAUAAAUUUAAAACAUUAAAGAAGUAUGAUAGAAAAUUGCAAGAAUCCUAAAUUGUAUGAAUGAUAAAUUUUGUUGAAAUCCUAAAUUCUUCAAUAUGUCACUUGGUUUUAAAAUUCUCCAGUCCCACCCAUUAAAUGAGUGUCUCAAUGGAAAUGAACUCUAGCAGACACCAACUUCCUUAGGAAAUAUACAUCAAGAUAUGUCAACUUCCAAUUAUAUACGGUACCCCAGAAUGUCAGAUUUGUUUUUAGUAUUCACUAGGUUGUCUGAACCAUUAUUUCAAAAUCCAAGAUUCAAUAUUAAAUGUAGAUUAAAUUUGUCAAUUCCAUGUGGAUGUCUUUCAUCUCCACUUGCAUUAUUGUGUCACUUCUGUUGUACCAUAUGGUAUCUCACAGUUGUGUGUUUUGAAAACUGGGUCAAUAUAGUAAUGUUUUAAAACAGUAUUUCUAUAUUAUUAUGAGCCUGUGUUCUCAGGAAAAAUUACCCUUCAGUGAAUAAAAGCAUUCUUAUUGCCUUAUACACUUCAAAAAUUUAUGCUGAAAUCAAAACUUCAAAACAAAGCAAAACCUCAUUGUGUUUUGAAGAUCUUGCCAUCUUCUCAUUGUUUGUUUAACCCUUUAAAAAUUAAAUACCAAUUUCCCUGAUUCUCUCCCAUCUUCUUCAGUUUCUGGCGCAUCUUUCCUACCAGUUAGCAAUCCAUCUUUAAAAAUUCAGUAUCUUCUAAAGAAGAUGUGGUACAUAUGAACAAUGGAAUAUUACUCAGCCAUAAAAAGGGAUAAAGCUGGGUCAUUUGUAGAGACAUGGAUGGGCCUAGAGACUGUCACACAGAGUGAAAUAAGUCAGAGGAAAACAUAUUACCACAUAUAACUGGAACCAGGAAAACUGGUGCAGAUGAACCUCUUUACAAGGCAGAAAUAGAGACACAGAUGUAGAGAAGAAAUAUGUGGACACCAAAUAGGGGAAGGGGGUGUGAUGAAUUGGGAGACUGUGAUUCACAUAUAUACACUAACGUGUGAAUAGAUAACAAAUGAGAACCUGCUCUAGAGCACAGAGAACUCUACUUAAUGCUCUGCAGCGACCUAAGUGGGAAGGAAAUCUAAAAAAAGGAGAGAUGUAUCUAUACAUGCAGCUGUUUCCCUUUUCUCUGCAGCAGAAAUGAAUACAACAUUGUAAAGCAACUAUACCCCAAUUGAAAAUUAAAAAAAAAAGUCAGUACCCUCACUGAUGAUCCAUCUAACAUCUGAUUGCACAGUUAAUUGACCUAUUUCUCCAAUCCACCUUCAGUCAUCAACCAGAGACCAGGAAAACUUCAAUGGCAUGUAAAACAAAAAUGAGAAUAAGGGCAUGAGCUGUGGUUAGAGCAAGGCAAGUAGAGCGCAGUUUCCAGAAGAGGACGAUCGAGGCCUCAGACCAUUUUAUUGUUUUGCACGUGUUGAGUGCGUCCUAAGCAUACGGGCACAGUAAGCAUACUGCGGUAAACAUACGUGGGUGUCAAGGAAGAGGAAAAAUGUGUCUCCUAUUUUGAGAAACUCACAAAAUCAAAUGCCAAACACCAGAAGACAACAUGUCAAAUACCAUAGACGGGAUAUACUAGUAUUAAAUCAUCACAGUUAUAGUAGUACUGGCAGUAGUGAUACUGUUUAUAACAUACUGGUUUGUUUUUUUUUUUUAAUGAAGUGCUUUAUUUGUAUUGCUUUAUUUAAUUAAUACAACAGCUCCAUGAGCCUUGUUAUUUAAUACCUAUUUAAUCAAUAAAGAAACUGGCACAGAGUGGUUAAAUAACUAAUUAAAUCUAAUUCCUGAUUAUGUUUCCAGAAAAAUAAGUAGUUAUUGUAAAUAUUACUUAAAAGAAUGCUGUACAGAAAAGAAAGAAAAAGUAUGUCAAGAAAUUUUAGAAAAUGAAAGAGAGGACAGGAUCUGGAUCGACUAAGGAAGCAGAGAACACCUUUUUCAUAAAGCAAGGCACACACAUUUAGCCAGCCCUUCCUGCUUGAUUUCUCAAGAUUCCAUUGGCCUCCUAUGGCUCCACACAGGCUGUUGCCUGUCUGUCCUAUGAAGGCUAAUCUGCUUCCAGGGUCUACAGGCACUUGAAGGAGGACUGAGACCAGUCACUAAGAUGUCUGGUUCCUUGGAUGUCAGUGUGAUGACCCAAACCUUUAUUCCUGGUGGCUCUAGAAUCUUAGCAGUCUGUCAUGAAUUGCAGUGGCUAUAGUCAGAUUGGCCUUGAGGCCUAUUCAGAUAUUCAUACCAUGUGCUUCAGAGGAAGAAGAUCACGGAAUGUUUUGAUUUGGAUGACUGGUAGGAGAAAUGGGAGAAGACUGUUUAUAGACCUGAAAUGAGACCUAGAAGGGGAAAUCCCCACAGGAGACUGAGAGCAAGACAAGGAUAAUAGCGAAACUUCUAAAAACCAUAUGGAAAUACAAAGGAUUUAUAUUGGCACAAUACAAGCUUAAAAAAAAAAUUGGAGGACGUAUACAGCCAGAUUUCAUACUUACAUGAAAGCUGCAGUAAUGAAGACAGUUGAAUGUUCGUGCGAGGAUAGGCUCUGGAUUUAUGACAUCGGCACUCUUCAAUUUAGGGGAAAAGGUGAGCUUUUCAAUAUCAUGCCAGAACAAUUUCUUAUUCAUUUAAAAAAAUAAGAAAAAAACUUGACUUUUUCUGCAUACCAUGUUUAGGAUGUGUUUAAAAAGUAAAUAUAUCUUCUUGAGGAAAACAUCUUCAUGGCCUUGUGGUAGGUAGAACAUCUCUUAUAUGGGAUGCCAAAACCAAAAACUACACUUGGGAAGCCAAUAACAUGCAAAACAAGGAAACAGGUAAA
Cervus elaphus (red deer) is the source of this 7898-nucleotide long non-coding RNA. RefSeq lists it as uncharacterized. The transcript is spliced from 5 exons. The record is from RefSeq and is a predicted model, not a curated record. Lineage: Eukaryota; Metazoa; Chordata; Mammalia; Artiodactyla; Cervidae.